AAACUUUGAUUUUGUUUUAUACACACAACUUCCGCCCGGGAACUACAGGCGCUAGCCUGAAACCCAAAGGACUUGGCGGUGCCUCAGACCCACCUAGAGGAGCCUGUUCUAGAACCGAUACUCCCCGUUCAACCUCACCAUCCCUGGCUAAUGUCCGCCUGUAUACCGCCGUCGUCAGCUUACCCCCUGAAGGUCCCAUAGUAAGCAAAGCAGGCAUCGCCCAAAACGGCAGGUCAAGGUGCAGCGCAUGAGAUGGAAAGAAAUGGGCUACAUUCUCUGAACCAGAGAACACGGAAGGUGCAAUGAAACACGCACCUGAAGGCGGAUUUAGCAGUAAGAAGGAAAAACGAGCGUCCU
Molecule: ribosomal RNA, 357 nt
Filed under: Chlorophthalmus acutifrons (greeneye)
Lineage: Eukaryota; Metazoa; Chordata; Actinopteri; Aulopiformes; Chlorophthalmidae
Description: partial 12S ribosomal RNA
Rfam family: Bacterial small subunit ribosomal RNA
Source: RNAcentral